GUGGGGAAUAUUGGACAAUGGGCAAAAGCCUGAUCCAGCCAUGCCGCGUGUGUGAAGAAGGUCUUCGGAUUGUAAAGCACUUUAAGUUGGGAGGAAGGGCAUUAACCUAAUACGUUAGUGUUUUGACGUUACCGACAGAAUAAGCACCGGCUAACUUCGUGCCAGCAGCCGCGGUAAUACGAAGGGUGCAAGCGUUAAUCGGAAUUACUGGGCGUAAAGCGCGCGUAGGUGGUUCGUUAAGUUGGAUGUGAAAGCCCCGGGCUCAACCUGGGAACUGCAUCCAAAACUGGCGAGCUAGAGUACGGUAGAGGGUGGUGGAAUUUCCUGUGUAGCGGUGAAAUGCGUAGAUAUAGGAAGGAACACCAGUGGCGAAGGCGACCACCUGGACUGAUACUGACACUGAGGUGCGAAAGCGUGGGGAGCAAACAGGAUUAGAAACCCGAGUAGUCC
RNAcentral lists this ribosomal RNA (450 nucleotides) under uncultured bacterium. RNAcentral's name for it is "partial 16S ribosomal RNA". It matches the Rfam family "Bacterial small subunit ribosomal RNA", at positions 354 to 796 of the family's 1533-position model. The record is from RNAcentral.